UGCUGUUAAUCAAUUUGUGUUCCGUUUUCCGUUGCCCUUUUGGUAUGUUUUUUUCGUCGCGUUUGCACUGUUAUUGUAGUAACAAUUUGUACUAAGUGGGUGUACAUCUGGAUAUUAUCGGUUCAGGAUGCAGUUAGUUAGGUACCUAAUUAUUUUUCAUGACUGAAAUUAGCAUGCUGAAAAUUGGGGAUAGGUUCAGCUCAUUCGCUGACGCAAAGAAAGCGAUUGAGGAACUUGGUGAAAAUACGUACACAACAUUUUGGAAACGAGAUGCCCGUACGAUUGCAAGCAGUAAAAUUGUGAGACCAAUAGAAAGCUCUUUGAUUUAUUAUCAACUUCUAUAUGCAUGUAACCCCGGUGGAAAGAAGUUUAAGGGCAGUGGGAAAAAAUUCGACAGUCUUGGACAUUUAAAGAAGAUUGCCCAGUACAUGUAAGAUUCAAAGCAUUGUCUGAUGGAAAAGCACUCGAGGUAACAUCGGUUCAAAUGAAGCACAAUCAUGUCACUUCGAAGGUUCUACAUGCACAUAACCCUAGCCAAAGAAAACUUUCCAGUAACAUGAAGGAAAGCGUCAAGGAUUAUUUGAAUAUGAAGGCCAAUA
This is a long non-coding RNA of Sitophilus oryzae (rice weevil), 599 nucleotides long. RefSeq lists it as uncharacterized. The record is from RefSeq and is a predicted model, not a curated record. Lineage: Eukaryota; Metazoa; Arthropoda; Insecta; Coleoptera; Curculionidae. The transcript has 3 exons.